RNAcentral lists this ribosomal RNA (2169 nucleotides) under Triticum aestivum (bread wheat). RNAcentral's name for it is "partial small subunit ribosomal RNA". The record is from RNAcentral. Lineage: Eukaryota; Viridiplantae; Streptophyta; Magnoliopsida; Poales; Poaceae.
AUGGUGUACGAGAGCGCGAGGGUGCGUUGCAGCUUCGGGACAACCUCAUGGGUUCGCCUCUCCAGAGGGUACACGGAGGCCGGCCUGCUCUCGCAGGUCAUCGACGCCUUUGGGGGCGACACCAAGGGCGGCGAGAGCGUCGCCGACCUCCAGGCAAUGCUGACAGGCCUGGUGGCGAACAAGAGGUUCCUGCUCGUGGUCGACGACGUGUGGUACGGCGGGGUGUGGGAGGACGUGCUGCAGAACCCACUGGGCCGCGGCGGCAAGGUGCUGGUCACAGCGCGGCGCGGCAGCACUGCCCGCGAGAUGGGCGCCAGCCUUGUCCACCGGGUGAAGAGGCUCAGCGCCGACGACGGCUGGCUGCUGCUCCGCACGGCGGCGUGCGUGGCUGACGACGAGAGCCAGCUGGAGGGCGUCGGCGAAAGGCUCGUCGAGAAGUGCGGCGGCAUCCCUCUGGCCAUCAAGGCGGUCGCCGGCGUGCUGAGAACACGGGAGGCCAGCGCCGACGUGUGGGGCGAGGUGCUCGCGAGCCCCGCGUGGUCGGUGAAGGGGCUGCCGGACGACGCCAUGAAGGCGCUGUACCUGUGCUACGAUGACCUGCCGCACCACCUGAAGCAAUGCUUCCUGUACUGCCCGCUGUCCCCCCCGGGCUACACCGUCGAGAGGCAGGUGCUCGUGCAGCACUGGAUGGCCGAGCGCUUGGUGCAGACCAGGAGCGGCGCCUCCGUCGAGGAGGUAGCCGAGGGGUACUACGAUGAGCUCGUCGGCAGGAACCUUCUCCAGACGACGCAGGAAGACGUGCGCGGAUGCACGAUGCACGAAGCGCUGCAUGCUCUGGCGCAGCUGCUCCUGCAAGGCGAGGGCUUCACCGGCGACGGCCAGCGGCUGCCCGACGACGGCGACACCUCCUUCAGGCCACGGCGCGUCUCCCUUCCAGGAAGAAACAUGGCUACGAUACCAGAGAGCAUCCUGAAUUCGGAGAGGAUAAGAACGCUGCUGCUUCCCAGGAACCCACUGGCAACCGAAGGAAACAUCUUCACGAGGCUGCAUCAUCAGCUGCGAGUCCUCGACCUGAGUGAAACAGGAAUUGAGCUCAUCCCAGAGACUCUGGGGAAUAUGGUUCACCUGAGGCUCCUCAACCUGUCCCGGACGGGGAUACAGGCGGUUCCAGAGUCCAUCGGCAACCUGUGGAGCCUGAACUUCUUGCUGCUGAGGGAGUGCAAGUCACUGCAUGCUCUGCCCAAAGGCAUGAAGCACCUGAGGAGGCUCAGAGACCUUGACCUGGCUGGAACGACGAUCGCCGCCGCGGCGUUCAGGGUAGGCCAGCUGAGAAGCCUCACGUCGCUCCAGUGCUUCGCCGUGGCCAGCAAAGAGGACAGGGGCGGGUGGCCUCUGGCUGAGCUCAAGCACUUGUGCCAGCUGAGGAUACUCCAUGUGCACAAGCUCGAGAGGUCCCCCGGUCGGUCUGAGGCAGCUGAAGUGGCACUUGCCAGCAAGAUGAGCCUCAGGGAGCUCGCGCUGUCAUGCAGCGACGACACUGUGAGUCAGCCGCAGACACCAACGGCUGUCAGGAAGAUCGAGGAUGUGCUUGAAGAGCUCAACCCUCCACCGUGCCUCGAGUCGCUAAAGAUUGCCGGCUAUUUUGGGGCCAAGUUCCCCAGCUGGCUCUCAGACAUUUCCCUCCCAAAUCUUCGCCACCUCCACAUCAUCGGGUGCAACUUGUGCCAGUCCCUCCCUCCACUAGGCCUGAUGCCAGAGCUGAGAUCGUUGAGCAUUGUCGAUUCUUCAGCUCUCACGUCAAUCGAUGCAGAGUUCAUGGGCAAAUGCCACCACCCUGAGGUACCUUUUCCAAAGCUCGAGAACCUGCGCUUGCAAGGAUUACGUAAGCUUGAAACAUGGAUGGAUAUCGAGGCAGGAGCGUUGCCCUCUUUGCAGGCGAUGCAACUCGAGAGCUGCCCUGAGCUGCGACGCCUGCCUGGCGGCCUCAGACACGUGACAUCCCUGGUGGAGCUGCGCAUAGUGGACAUGGCGAGUCUCGAGGCUGUGGAGGACAUUAUUGCACUGAGAGAAUUGAGCGUUUGGAACGCACCUGAUCUGAAGAAGUUAUCAGACAUGCCUUCCCUUGAGGACCUUAGCAUAUCCCACUGCCCAGUGCUGCAGACUGUGGAG